RNAcentral lists this ribosomal RNA (1086 nucleotides) under Bacteroidetes bacterium oral taxon 436. Its description in RNAcentral is "bacterial SSU rRNA". It matches the Rfam family "Bacterial small subunit ribosomal RNA", at positions 28 to 1107 of the family's 1533-position model. Lineage: Bacteria; Pseudomonadati; Bacteroidota. The record is from RNAcentral.
GAUGAACGCUAGCGGCAGGCUUAACACAUGCAAGUCGAGGGGCAUCGAGAUGUAGCAAUACAUUGUCGGCGACCGGCGUAAGGGUGCGUACGCGUGAGCAACCUGCCCGUAUCAGGGGGAUAACCGAUGGAAACGUCGCCUAAUACCCCAUAAUCAUUGAGACCUCAUGGUUUUGAUGUAAAAGAUUCGUCAGAUACGGAUGGGCUCGCGUGACAUUAGCUAGUUGGUGUGGUAACGGCACACCAAGGCAACGAUGUCUAGGGGUUCUGAGAGGAAGACCCCCCACACUGGAACUGAGACACGGUCCAGACUCCUACGGGAGGCAGCAGUGAGGAAUAUUGGUCAAUGGGCGGAAGCCUGAACCAGCCAUGCCGCGUGAAGGAAUAAGGUCCUAUGGAUCGUAAACUUCUUUUGAGCGGGAGCAAUAAGGUCUACGAGUAGACCGAUGAGAGUACCGUUCGAAUAAGCAUCGGCUAACUCCGUGCCAGCAGCCGCGGUAAUACGGAGGAUGCAAGCGUUAUCCGGAUUUAUUGGGUUUAAAGGGUGCGUAGGCCGUUGUGCAAGUCAGAGGUGAAAUCGCGGGGCUCAACCCCGUGUCUGCCUUUGAUACUGUAUGACUUGAAUGUUGUUGCCGUGUGAGGAAUGAGUAGUGUAGCGGUGAAAUGCAUAGAUAUUACUCAGAACAGCCGAUUGCGAAGGCAUCUCACGAAACAAUUAUUGACGCUGAGGCACGAAAGCGUGGGUAUCCAACAGGAUUAGAUACCCUGGUAGUCCACGCUGUAAGACGAUGAUAACUAACCGUCGGCGAUAUACAGUCGGUGGCCAAGCGAGAGCGAUAAGUUAUCCACCUGGGGAGUACGACCGCAAGGUUGAAACUCAAAUGAAUUGACGGGGGCCCGCACAAGCGGAGGAACAUGUGGUUUAAUUCGAUGAUACGCGAUGAACCCUACCCUGGCUCGAACGGCACAGGAAGUGAUCCAGAGAUGUGACGUUCCCUCGGGGGACCGUUGUCGACGUGCUGCAUGGGUUGUCGUCAGCUCGUGUCGUGAGAUGUUGGCCCCAGUGCCGUAACGAGCGCAUCCCUGU